AUAUCAGUAAGCGGAGGAAAAGAAACUAACUAGGAUUGCCUUAGUAGCGGCGAGUGAAGAGGCAUCAGCUCAAAGUGUAAAUCUGUGCAAACAGAAUUGUAAUCUAUAGAAAUUCUCAGGAGAAACAAAUCGGUCAUAAGUCCCUUGGAAAAGGGUGCCAAAGAGGGUGAUAGCCCCGUCUUAGGAUCGACGAGUUCGUAUGAGGGUUUUCUAAGAGUCGGGUAGUUUGGGAAUGCUGCCCUAAUUAGGAGAUAUACUUCUUCUAAGGCUAAAUAUCUAUAGGAGACCGAUAGCGCACAAGUA
Molecule: ribosomal RNA, 303 nt
Filed under: uncultured eukaryote
Lineage: Eukaryota
Description: partial large subunit ribosomal RNA
Rfam family: Eukaryotic large subunit ribosomal RNA
Source: RNAcentral